GGUUUUUAGAAAAUAUUAAAAAUUAGGCCUGCUCAAUGAAAAUUUAAUAGCCGCAGUAUCAUGACUGUGCAAAGGUAGCAUAAUAAUUUGUCUUUUAAUUUAGGACUGGAAUGAAUGGUUAGACCAAGUAAUAUUGUCUUGAGGUUAUAUUUUGAAUUUUAUAUUUUAGUAAAAAAGCUAAAAUUUAUUUCAGGGACGAGAAGACCCUGUCAAACUUUACAAACUAAUCUUUCUCUCUUAAGGUGGAAUAAGUUUGUUUCACUGGGGCAGUGAGUAAUAAAAUUUUACUUAUUUAUUGUGGAUAUAUUUCUUGAAAAAUCAGGAAUUUCCUAAAGAAAAAUAAGUUACUGCAGGGAUAACAGCGUAAUUCUUUUUUAGAGUUCUUAUCGAUACAAGAGUUUGCGACCUCGAUGUUGGAUUAAAAUCCCUUUCCCACGCAAUAGGGGGAGAAGGAAGUCUGUUCGACUUUUAAAAUUUUCCA
RNAcentral lists this ribosomal RNA (481 nucleotides) under Deccanometrus bengalensis. Its description in RNAcentral is "Heterometrus bengalensis partial large subunit ribosomal RNA". It matches the Rfam family "Bacterial large subunit ribosomal RNA", at positions 1824 to 2600 of the family's 2925-position model. The record is from RNAcentral. Lineage: Eukaryota; Metazoa; Arthropoda; Arachnida; Scorpiones; Scorpionidae.